Molecule: ribosomal RNA, 324 nt
Filed under: Bacillus paranthracis
Lineage: Bacteria; Bacillati; Bacillota; Bacilli; Caryophanales; Bacillaceae
Description: bacterial SSU rRNA
Rfam family: Bacterial small subunit ribosomal RNA
Source: RNAcentral
UUAUUGGAGAGUUUGAUCCUGGCUCAGGAUGAACGCUGGCGGCGUGCCUAAUACAUGCAAGUCGAGCGAAUGGAUUAAGAGCUUGCUCUUAUGAAGUUAGCGGCGGACGGGUGAGUAACACGUGGGUAACCUGCCCAUAAGACUGGGAUAACUCCGGGAAACCGGGGCUAAUACCGGAUAACAUUUUGAACCGCAUGGUUCGAAAUUGAAAGGCGGCUUCGGCUGUCACUUAUGGAUGGACCCGCGUCGCAUUAGCUAGUUGGUGAGGUAACGGCUCACCAAGGCAACGAUGCGUAGCCGACCUGAGAGGGUGAUCGGCCACAC